Gasterosteus aculeatus aculeatus (three-spined stickleback) is the source of this 1776-nucleotide long non-coding RNA. NCBI's taxonomy places the organism in Eukaryota, Metazoa, Chordata, Actinopteri, Perciformes, Gasterosteidae. The record is from Ensembl.
GACAUAGACAGCGUCCCACUCCCACCAGCCUUUGUCUCCUCAAACUACAAGUUGAGCGAUGUGGAGCUGUCACGGUUUUAUGGCUGGACGUGACCGUGAUGUGGAAACUAAUCUGGCACCUGAACCUUUCCCUGACCCGGCCAGAGGCGCAGAGAGUCCAGUGCGAAGUUACUUUGGGGUUGAAAAACCAGGAGAAGAAAGGAACCAAUUAAGAAGCCUAUACUUUUUCCCAACCCACUUUUUUUCCAGACUUGCCCUUUCCUCAAAAUUAGUGAAUGAUUAAUCGUGUAUUGCAUCUCUCCUGUUUUUCGCAUUAAACAAGUUAUUAUACAAACCAUGGCUCCUUAUCACUGUCAGCACAGAGGAGUCAGAGGCGCACGGCUCUGGACGCUGGCCAGGCGGAGGUCCAUAUCUCCCCACAAUGUUGACACUCGGAGCUCUUAACAGCCGGGCUUGGGUUACCUACACUCAGCCGAAGAUAACUCUUUCUGCGAGGACUACAUCGGCCAGCAUUAAGGCCAAUAUAAAAAUUCAACUCUUUCGGCAGACUUGGGGACAUCUCCCAUGCGAUGCAGACGAAACGGGAGAACGUUUACGUGAAUCUGGGUUGUGAUGAAAUUAUUUUAGCGUUGAACUUAACUUGGUGACGGAGAAUGGGCCUUGAUUAUACAGCAAUACAGUCUCCGUAUUAGCAUUGCUUUAUGCACAUCGUCACAUACACUACAGGGAGUUGGUUUUAAUCUUAGUCUAAAUGACCCAUUUUGUUCACUCUCAUUGAAAGGCUCUUCGCGCAACAGAACACCUUCGCAUUGUUGCUGUACAAAUCUUUAAAUUUCAUAGUGAAAUGAAUAAAUUGUUAUUAUUUUUUAGGAUUGUUAUCAAAGGGAGAAGACCAAAAUAUUAUCUUCCAUCUGUCAUGUCUUUAUGGGGAACUUUGCAUAAAUUUAUUUGACCCCUUUCCAUGUCAAUUUUAAGUGUUUGUAUUACUUCUGCACAAUAAAGUUCCAACUUCAUCCACGAUAUAUUACCUCUGCAAUCCUGUGUAAAAUCAAUUUAUUUCAAACAAAUAUGCAAAACAUAUUUACAUAAAAUAUGGGUUUACAGGGUGAUUAUUGAAUUCCAUAAACUUCAUUUUUGGUUGUUUAAAGAUUAACAUUGCAGUAUUAUAUUUCCUAGGAGGUUCAAGCACGAACACAUAUAGAUAUUAUUAAGAAUGUGUUUGUGUCAAUUAAAAGCGUUUGCAUUGUGGGGAAACACAAUUUGUUGAGUGCAAUGCGUAAUUGUAAAAUGAACAAAUUCAGAAACUAAACUAAGUUAAAGCUUGAAAUAAUCAGAUAAUAUCACAAUAUAUGUAAAUACACUUUCGCAAGAAGAAGCAAACUCCACCUCUGUGAUAUUCAUACCACAUUCUAACACCCACAAAAAUGGUUUUACUCACAAGUCAUGACGGUCAGUUUCCAGCGGAAAGGGUUCUGUGACAGUCAGAUGAGAAGAGAUCUGACUUUCACCCUCCAGAGGAUCACAUCAAAUGAAAAUAAGGCAAAUGUUCUGAUCUAUUUCUGACCCCGGGGCAUUCAUUAUUCAACAAGUCACGUGAAAGGGUGCAUUAAAAUUUCAGUACAUUGCAAGUGACCUCUAUUCGCGAAUCAAAUGACUUGAAUUCUUAUAAUUUAACCAUCGGACUUUUUAGUCUGGGCCAAACCGGUGCCACUCAGCGUCAACGCCAUCUUCUGCACAGCUCUCAUGUCUGCAGCAAGUGCCACGCAGAGGAAAGCG